Mirounga angustirostris (Northern elephant seal) is the source of this 8005-nucleotide long non-coding RNA. RefSeq lists it as uncharacterized. The record is from RefSeq and is a predicted model, not a curated record. Lineage: Eukaryota; Metazoa; Chordata; Mammalia; Carnivora; Phocidae. The transcript is spliced from 4 exons.
UGGAGAAGCUGGAGGGCGCAGCUGGGUGGGGUAGCCUUGGGGUGUGGACAACUGCCUACCAGGAUGAAAGGCCUUGAGCUGUGGGACGAAGUGGAACUGGAAGCUUGCCCCUUGACACUUUUUUCAAGGGGGAAGUGCUCUCUGCAGCGUCUGUCGCCACCCUCUCUGUCACCUGAUUGGGCAGGGAGGGGAGUCCUUGUCUAUUCUCAGCUUUGGGUCCAGAGCUCAAAGGAGCACCUGUCUUGGGGGACUCGAAAAGUUGGGCUUUUUCUCCUGCCGCGGCUUGGGCCAUUAAACAAGUGAGAUUCGGUCCAUGUGAUUUGGCGUCGUUGCAAGGGCCUUGACUUUUGUGUGACCUCCCCGAAUUCGAGUUUUCUCAGGUUGAUCAGUUGGGUCCAUUGGGGAAAUUUCUGAGGUGGAAAUUAAAUAGAAAAAGAGAGCAUCGGCAUGAAUUGAACAUCUUUCAGACCAGGAGUAGUCGUUAAGGAAGAGAGACCUUCGCCGAGGCCCUACCAGGCCCUGGAAGCCCUGUGCUGAGCUCUUGCUAUAAGGAGGGCCACUGACCACAAAACAAAAGUAGUCAACCAGGAGCUGCGGGAAUGGAACUGUUAGGUUUCCACCUGGUUGGUGGGAUUGGAGAACAUUUCUCGUGGAAGAGGUGGCAUUUGUACCAGGCCCUGCAAAGGGAGAAGAGGUAUGAGGAUCAAAUAUAUAGGAGCUAAAUCUGAUGGUAAAGAUUAGAGAUCUCAAGGUUUGUACCGGUAAAAAAAAAAGUCCAUAGAGACUGUUAACCUGGGAUUGUUGGCCUGCGUGGACCAUGGACAGACUUCAGAAGUUUGUCUGGGCAAAAUUUAAAAGCCAGGAAAUACCAAGUAUUGGCCAAGAUGAAGAGCAGCAGAAGCUCUCAGGCUUUGCUGGUUGGAACGUCACUUGAUGCAACUUUUUGGAAAGCAGGUCUACCAAAAUUAGACUCCCGGCUGCCUGGACAUUGAGUUGGAAAAUUCAGGACACAAGAAAUGGGAACAAAUGUGCCCUAUCAAAUGCAGUGCCCAGACGUUUAUGAACUGUUCUCCAUAUGCACAGCUGUGAGCAGUCUGCCUCAAGAGGAAAUUGCCUUCCAUCAUCCAAAGGGACCUGGACCCCAGAACUGAUGUUAUUUCCCUGCUGAAUGGCAGCGGACCAUGACAGAGGGAGGGCUCCCCGUGACCUUAGAGCAGAGUCUGAGCACCCCAUCCAGCAGACAGAGAAGGUGUUAUCCUACUAUGAACAGACUCUUCUGGUUCAGUCUUAUGGGGGAAACUUGAUAUCUUCGGUAAAUGCUAACCCAGUGAGCCCUCUCCACGUCCCCAUGCCAUCCUCCCAUGGAGCUUCUAGUUGGACAUGAAGAUAAUAAAGCCCACCCUGACCUCUUACAUAGAAUUACAUAAAAGUGUAUGGACAUUAUAGGUAGGGAGGGGUUUCUACCUGCCCAAGAAUUUAAUCCACCCAAAUCCUACAGAAAAAAAAAAUAGUUAAAGAUUUGGUAGCAUUGUAGUAACUAUUGUAGAAUAGCUGGUGCUCUCAUGGGCCUUCUUAUGUGCCUGGGGAACAGCCUGAAAACGGGAACAAAGAGGAACUAACUCCACAUAUUGCAAGAGCACCCACUGAUCUUCGGAAAGUAAAGCUGUAGAGACUGUGUUGCAGCUAGAAAAAACCUUUAUCAGUAAGGAGUUGGGUAAUUUCACCUGGAAAUGUACAUAUGGUGUGCAUGGUAUGUUACAUUUCACCUGGCAGGGAGACCUUGGAAGGAAGCAAAUUUAGAGUGCCGAGAACCCCUUUGGAGGGUUCUAGGGAAGCAGGUGCAUAUGCAAGGGCACAUACAAAUGUGGCAUUCUUCUGGGUUAAGUAAACCAGACUGUGGGAAAUGUACUGCCAGGAGAUGAGUGUGCCCACAGACCAUCAAUAUAAUUGUCCUUAGAGGGCCAUAGUUCACAAUUGUCCAUACCAAAAGCCAUGCCUAAUUCACUCAGAGCAUGGUACUCCUUCCAUACUGUAGGGAUGAAACCUCUCCCUACCUAUAAUGUCCAGACCGUGAGGGUCACUGCCCUGGAAAAAAAAGGAAGAGGGAAUAAAAGUAACAGUUGUGUUUUCCAACCUGCAGGCAUUUGGACAGGAGAAACAGAAGAGGGAAAGGAAGGAAGGCAGGCAGGCUCCAGGGUUCUCAUUUUCCCCUAGCCACCCUCCCCAGUCCAUCCAGAUCUUGACUGGGGGAAACUAUGGAAGACAGAUACGGAGACUGUGGAGAAGCCAAGAACAUCACAGGCUUGUAGACCACUUCCCCAGGUAUGACAUGAGGGAGGCUUCAGGCUGCUAGGGGAAGCCUUGCGCCUGGCUUUGCAUCAUGAACAAAAUACUGUAGGAACAAUAAUGUAGCAAUGAUGGAGGGCAGAAUCUAAGCCAGUGAAAACCAGGAUACCCUACCCAGUUCCUAUACUUGUUCUACAGGAGAUCAAAAGCUUCCCUGUGUCCCACAAAGGCAUGAGGAAGUGUUGUAGAGGCUUGCACUGAGAGUUGGAAUGAAAAGCCUGCAGGGGUAGGACUUUGUGGCAGAAGGCAAAUGUUGGGACCAUGGACUUCAGCUCUGGGUGCUGGCAUUACACUCCAAAGACCAGAUUAGGCCCAGUGCAUCUCAGCAGGUAAUUAUAGGAGCUCAGGAACCAGACCCAGUCUUUCAUGGCAGAACCAGAAAGACAGUACAAGGACCUGCUCACAGGGAUCCAAGGCAACUCUUCUAUCACAUAGUCAUAUUUGUGCCUUGCCUUUCCCAUACUCCCAGAUAACCAUCUUGAAAAGAUGAAGGGGAAGAGGAAAGAGAAGCAGCAUUUACUUAAGAGAGACCAAGUUACCCCCAAAGACAAUGUUUGAACCAAACUCAUCCCAUCCAUUAUUUACUGGUAAAUCCAAAUCUCCCCUUCACACCCAGCAGGACGGGCUUAUGCGAAAGAUUAGAUUAUAGAAAACAAAGUAGCUCCAUUGUCUUUGCACCUCCAGCUUAUAGGGUGAGUAAACAUGCAUCCCUGCUUUAACUUUUCUUGUGCUUUAGACUACAGGGCAGUCAUAUUAAGUGUCCAGUUACAAUUAGCCCUUCAGUCAAGCCUCACCCUCACUGCUAGCAGUGCAGCAGGAAAUGGGGGCCUUUGUAACAAGAGCAGCAGUGAUCCAAGGCAGACCAUGGGUGCAGUGGUCAACAGCAAAAUGGGCAGAGCCCACAGUAGAGCAAGGAGGAGACCAGCAGUGGACAUCAUAGGACUGUGGUUGGAUGAACACUGCAGGGGUUUGCAACAAACCCAUUUUCUCAGGACCUCCUGGUUGCUACACACUGCAUUAGGCUGCUGGCAUUCCUGCUGCAACAAUAGGCAAAAUAACAAUUUGUUUCUUUCUGCCCUAAAAGGCUGAGUGUAAGCAGUCCUGUGCUGAUAGUUCGCCAUAGUAUCAGGUCCCAGGCCCUUCGCAUCUUGUAUUUACCAUCCUGCAGCUUUUAGCUCCCAUCACACAUUCCUGCAGCAUGAAGAAGAGGGAAAGUAGAGGGCACACACCUCUCUGUUAAGGUCAUGAACUGAAAGUGGCACAUAAAACUUUCUCUUCCAUCCUAAUGCCCAAAACUUAGUCAUAUGGCUACACUUAGGGUCUCAGCUGUGGCCACAAAAAUGCUGUGUAACAAACAACCACAAAAUAUCAGUAGCAGCCAACAAUAAGCAUUAAUUUCACAUUCACAUGUCUACAGAUGAACUGGUGUUUGGCUAGUCUAUGUUGGAUUCAGCUGGACAUGGCUCGCUGCGGCUUGGGUUCAGAUCUCAUCCUCUGGGAUGUAUCUCUCAUCCUCUAGCCACCACCAAGCUCCCCAGGCCAUGAGCUCAUCACGGUAAUGACCUUCAUGGUAAUAGCAGCAUAUGUAUGCCUUGGUAAGUCAUGUACAUAGGUUAGAAGCUAUGUGGAGAAGGUUGCCUGAGAGCAAGAUUGGUGACCUGGCAGAGGUACGAACCCUUUUACUUCUGCACUUACCUGUCCAGAAUCAGAAUGGCAAGAUGAAGGUCUGAGCCCACCAAUUUCACAAGCACAUUUAAAGCCUUUGCUUGGAUCAUGUCUGCUACCAUCCCAUUGGCCCACACAAGUCACAUACCCAAGCUCAACAUCAGUGGGUCAGGAAGUAUACUCUCACGAAGAGAGGAGGGAAGUAAUAAAUGUCUUAUAAAUGUCUAUGGUCUUUAGCAGGGUGGCCAUAUUAACUCCAGUUAAAACUCUGGAGUUCUAUCCUCAAAGAAAGAAAAGGAAGCUAGAUUUUGAGGAUACCCUGUGCUACAGCGUGUAUCAGUCAGGAGGCAGUUUCUUCUAAUAGUUUAAUGGAACCAUGGAUGUGUUCCCUGGUGGAAGUAUCCUCUUUGGCACUAGAACUUACAAACCCACCAAGCCCAAGUUUGCAGAGAUGAGAAGCACAAAAAUUUCUUUGUAAUUCAUCAGGUGUAACAGUGAGGAGGGUCAUCCCCCUCUUUACCCCUGUUUCCCAAAGCCAUGCAUUCUGGCUAUGGCACCAUAGACUGGCUGCUGAUUUUCAAGGCUUAUAAACUGAGACUUAAACAGGCCCACCCACUGUUCUACCAAACUAGCUCUUUCUGGGUGAUAGGACAUAUGGUGAGACCAGGAAUUCUAAGAGAGUGAGGCCACUGUCCCACUUGGUUUGCCAUAAAUGUGUCCCUUUGAUGGAAGCAGCAUCGUGUGAGAUCAGUGUGGCAUGAGAUAAAUGUGGCAUUUUGCAAGUCCAUAAACUGGUGAUGCUGGCAGAGAUGCUGCAGGCAGGAGAGGCAAAUCCAUACCCAUGCUAUGUGUGUCUAUUCCUAUAAAGACAAAGAACUUUCCCCAGCAUGUUGAAAGGGGUUCAGUAACUGGGUGUCUGGCUGGCCCCUGUGGAAGUGGUACCAUUUCUGGGCGCAACACAGCUUCUGAAUAAACAAGCUGGGCACUCAGCAGCAGUACUCAGGGAAAGUGUAGCACUAAAUGUCUUAUGUUACAGAAGAACAGUCAAAAAUCAAUGACCUCAGCCUCCAUCUUAAUAAAUUGGAAAAAAAAAAAAAGUAAUUUGAACUCAAACAGAAGAAAAGAAAUAAUGACCAGAGUGAAAUUCAGUGAAAUACUAAACAAAAAAUAGAGAAAAAUCAAUGAAACCAAAAACUGAUUCUUUGAGAAAAAAAAAAUCUCUUCAGUUGUUAAACCGGUAGUCGGAUGAUCAAGAAAAAGUACAGAAAACACAAAUUACCAAUAUCAGGAAUGACUGAGUUGACAUCAUCACAGUUUUUACAGAUAUUGAAAGGAUAAUUUAGAAAUAUCAUGAACAACUUUUUUUAAAAUAUUUUUUAUUUAUUUGAGAGACAGAGCAAGCACGAGUGGUAGGAAAGGGCAGAGGGAGAGGGAGAAGCAGACCUCCGCCGAGCAGGGAGCCCCAUGCGAGGCUUGAUCCCAGGACCCUGAGAUCAUGACCUGAGCUGAAGGCAGACACUUAGCCACCCAGCACCCCUCAUGAACAACUUAAUGCCAAUAAAUUUAACAACCUAAUGAAAUGGAUGCAUUUUUAAUGCUUUUUUUUUUUUUUAAGAUUUUAUUUAUUUAUUUGAGAGAGAGAGAGAAUGAGAGACAGAGAGCAUGAGAGGGAGGAGGGUCAGAGGGAGAAGCAGAGUCCCUGCCGAGCAGGGAGCCCGAUGCGGGACUCGACCCUGUGACUCCAGGAUCAUGACCUGAGCCAAAGGCAGUCGCUUAACCAACUGAGCCACCCAGGCGCCCCUUUAAUGCUUUUUUUUUAAAAAAGAUUUUAUUUAUUUGAGAGUUCAUGAGUGGGGGGAGGGAGAGGGAGAAGCAGACUCCCCUGCUGAGCAGGGAGCAUGUCCUGGGAUCAUGACCUGAGCUGAAGGCAGAUGCUUAACCAGCUGAGCCACCCAAGUGCCCCGAAAUGGAUGCAUUUCUUGAAAGACACAAUACUGGCAGUGGCCAGAUCAGCUUGAUGAGGGCAAGUCUAUGUUGUUGAGCCCAUCACUGUCUCCUUUCCUGUCACCAUGGCCACUUUGUAAAUGGGUCUAUUGAGCAAGCACCAGGGUAUCUGAGGAAGAGGCCAUCCAAUGUCCACGGGUUGGGUCAUCUUGUCCUCCUGAUUACUGAGAGUCUCAUCUACAACAGAGGCCCUUGGAUGAGCAUUUAUGUGGAACAUGCAUAUCUAUACUGUGUGGAUGGCAAGAAGUCCAUCUUUCCCUUGACCACCUUGUCCCUGGUCUUCUGAUCUUGCUCUCUGUAAAUUCCUGACCAGCUGGCCAGCCUGUUAGUUACUCCCCACAAGUCAGGGUCGAUCUGUGCCUUAGCUGACCUGUAGCAGAGCACUGCUCACUAGAGAACAUCCCUUCACUACAGGCUUUUGGAGCCAUUCCAGAGUGGUCUGUGGUGCAACACUCUGGCUGCGUCUGUAAGAGAAGCCCGUGCUUGCUUUUCCUCCACUAACUGACCUUAUUUCUUUGGAGGGCAUUGGUAGAAUGUGGAAGGAGAUAUAGUCAGGCAGCGGCAUUGGAUACCAGGGGAUUCAGGUAGUUCCCUAUGUCUUUGGAUCUGCCCGGUGUAUACCCAUUUCUGUUUUAUAAUGGUAGGCUGACAUGCCUCUCCCAUUUUAUGGCUCACUGGACUUGAUAAUACAGUUUGUGACAGGUACUUCAGGUUGGUGGAAUCUCCUCAUGUCUUUAUCCUCCUCUACCUGUGCUUUAUCCCACGCCACUCCCAGGGAUGAUUUGCUUAUAUGUGAUGACACUGCAUGUUAUGGAUUGCCACGGUCCCAUUUCACCACAGCACAGAGGUUAUCCAUGUCUUCCUCAAAAAUGUGAGCAACUCAAUUCUGGAACCCUUUUUUUUUUUCAACAAUUCUAUAUAUUACGCAGUGCUCACCACAGGAAGUGGAGUUACCAUCUGUCACCCUACAGUGUUAUUACAGUAUUAUUGACUACAUUCCCUAUACUGUACUUUUCAUCUCCAUGACUUAUUUUAUAACUGGACAUUUAUACCUCUUAAUCCUCUUCAUCUAUUUCACCCAUCCCCCUACCACCUCCCUUUGGCAACCACCAAUUUGUCCUCUGCAUUUAUGAGUCUGUUUCUGUUUUUUGUUUGUUGUUUGCUUGUUUAUAUGUUUUGUUUUUUAGAUUCCACAUAUAAGUGAAAUUAUAUGGUAUUUGUCUUUGUCUGACUUAUUUCACUUAGCAUAGUACCCUCUAGGUCCAUCCAUGUUGUCACAAAUGGCAAAAUCUCAUUCUUUUCUAUGUCUGAGUAAUAGCCCAUUGUGUGUGUGUAUGGAAUCCUAUUUUAAGACCACUCCUGAUACUAACUAGUGUACCAGUAAGGUCCCAAAAAGAAAUAAAUGGCACACUCAAAAUGGAUACCUCUAGGAGAGUUUGAUAAAGGAACUUUUUGCAGAGUCAUGGUCAGGAAAUAGGGAAACCAAAAGGAAUGUGCAGUAGUCCAGGACUGACAACCUUGGGGAGCAAACAGCCCUAGGCCAUGACGGAGCAGGGAGACAGAGGAUUACUGGAACCAGAGAAGGUAAGUGAAGGAAAACGCUGCCUGAAAGUAGCUAUAGCCUUUGAUAGAAAGGAAGUUGGCCCUCAGCAAACUCACAAGAAAGGAGGCAAGCAAAUAAAUACUCUGACUUCAGUCUCUUCCUACUCUGAUCUCCUGCUGGUACCUCCCAUUGGCCAACCCCAGUAGAAAACCAGAGGGCAAAGGGAGCCUAUUCGGGUAAUCCUUGAAGGUCAAUACCCUGAGGCACAGAGCCUGGGAGAGAACCAGGGGAAGAGAUAUAGAGGAGGAGAUGGAUCUCUAUCUAGCACACAACCCAAACAAGUUUAAACAAACAGGUAAUUUACUGGCUCACAUGUCUGAAAAGUCAAGCUGUAAGCCUUGAAGCAGGGGCUCAAAUGAGGUAAUCAGUAUCUGGUUUUUCCUCCAU